GCGGGCGUGGUGAAAUCGGUAGACACGCCGGCUUUAGGUGCCGGUGGCGCAAGCCGUGGGGGUUCGAGUCCCUCCGCCCGCA
RNAcentral lists this transfer RNA (82 nucleotides) under Actinomycetota bacterium. RNAcentral's name for it is "tRNA-Leu". It matches the Rfam family "tRNA". Rfam says of the family: Transfer RNA (tRNA) molecules are approximately 80 nucleotides in length. Their secondary structure includes four short double-helical elements and three loops (D, anti-codon, and T loops). Further hydrogen bonds mediate the characteristic L-shaped molecular structure. tRNAs have two regions of fundamental functional importance: the anti-codon, which is responsible for specific mRNA codon recognition, and the 3' end, to which the tRNAs corresponding amino acid is attached (by aminoacyl-tRNA synthetases). tRNAs cope with the degeneracy of the genetic code in two manners: having more than one tRNA (with a specific anti-codon) for a particular amino acid; and 'wobble' base-pairing, i.e. permitting non-standard base-pairing at the 3rd anti-codon position. The record is from RNAcentral. Lineage: Bacteria; Bacillati; Actinomycetota. RNAcentral also lists the same sequence under 1 other name.